AUGCUCUAUUGAGUAAAGAUUUAUCGCCUUAUGAUGAGCCUGCGUUAGAUUAGUUAGUUGGUAGGGUAACGGCCUACCAAGGCGACGAUCUAUAGCCGGGUUGAGAGACUGGCCGGCCACAUUGGGACUGAGACACGGCCCAGACUCCUACGGGAGGCAGCAGCUAAGAAUCUUCCGCAAUGGACGCAAGUCUGACGGAGCGACGCCGCGUGAACGAUGAAGGCCUUACAGGUUGUAAAGUUCUUUUAUAGAAGACGAAUGUUAUGCGUAGGCAUAACUGACGGUAUUCUAUGAAUAAGGUCCGGCUAACUACGUGCCAGCAGCCGCGGUAAUACGUAGGGACCGAGCGUUGUUCGGAAUUAUUGGGCGUAAAGGGUACGUAGGCGGUCUAAUAAGUCAGAUGUGAAACCCUCGGGCUCAUCCUGAGGCCUGCGUCUGAUACUGUUAGGCUAGAGUUACGGAGAGGAAGUCAGAAUUCCUGGUGUACGGGUGAAAUCUCUAGAUGUCAGGAAGAACAUCGGUUGCGAAGGCUGACUUCUGGACGUUAACUGACGCUGAGGUACGACAGUUCGGGUAGCGAACAGGAUUAGAGACCCUGGUAGUCCUAACCUGUAAACGUUGUAUACUAUGCUGGUGGCGUGUUGAUCGCGUCACUGCCGGAUCUGACGCAUUAAGUAUACCGCCUGGGGAGUAUGCCGGCAACGGUGAAACCCAAAGGAAUUGACGGGGGCCCGCACAAGCAGUGGAGCAUGUUGUUUAAUUCGAUGAUACGCGAGGAACCUUACCAGGUCUUGACAUAUACCUGAAUGUUGUAGAGAUACAUCAGUCUUUCGGGACAGGUAUACAGGUGCUGCAUGGUUGUCGUCAGCUCGUGCCGUGAGGUGUUGGGUUAAGUCCCGCAACGAGCGCAACCCUUAUUCUUUGUUGCUAACGUGUUAUGGCGAGCACUCUAAGGAGACUGCCGGUGACAAACCGGAGGAAGGUGGGGAUGACGUCAAAUCAUCACGGCCCUUAUGACCUGGGCUACAAACGUGCUACAAUGGGCGGCACAAAGAGUUGCGAUACCGCGAGGGUGAGCUAAUCUCAAAAAACCGUCCUCAGUUCGGAUUGGAGUCUGAAACUCGACUCCAUGAAGCUGGAAUUGCUAGUAAUCGCAUAUCAGCAAUGAUGCGGUGA
RNAcentral lists this ribosomal RNA (1176 nucleotides) under uncultured organism. Its description in RNAcentral is "bacterial SSU rRNA". It matches the Rfam family "Bacterial small subunit ribosomal RNA", at positions 175 to 1365 of the family's 1533-position model. The record is from RNAcentral.